This 77-nucleotide transfer RNA is filed under the name Quadrisphaera oryzae. RNAcentral describes it as "tRNA-Leu". It matches the Rfam family "tRNA". From Rfam's summary of the family: Transfer RNA (tRNA) molecules are approximately 80 nucleotides in length. RNAcentral also lists the same sequence under 3 other names. The record is from RNAcentral. Lineage: Bacteria; Bacillati; Actinomycetota; Actinomycetes; Kineosporiales; Kineosporiaceae.
GCCCCCGUAGCCCAACCGGCAGAGGCAGGCGCCUUAAAAGCGCCUCAGUGCGGGUUCGAACCCCGCCGGGGGCACCA